UCUAGAACUCGAGAUAUGGGCUGAACACUAAACAGUGUCUGGGCUGCAGGACAGAUUCGGACUUCUUUGUUGUUGCUGCAAUUUGGACUUCAAAACGGCCUUUUUAAAUCUUGGGCUCCACAUGAAAGUUGUAGGCCUAUGUCUUAUCUUUCCAUC
Populus trichocarpa (black cottonwood) is the source of this 156-nucleotide non-coding RNA. NCBI's taxonomy places the organism in Eukaryota, Viridiplantae, Streptophyta, Magnoliopsida, Malpighiales, Salicaceae. The record is from Rfam.